Molecule: non-coding RNA, 774 nt
Filed under: Enoplops potanini
Lineage: Eukaryota; Metazoa; Arthropoda; Insecta; Hemiptera; Coreidae
Source: RNAcentral
GAGGUUUAGAGGUUGAUUUUGUCUCUUAAAUUAAUUAAUUGGUAAUAUUAAAUAUAAGUUUUUGCGUGGUUUAUUUAAAUCUAAAAGGUUAAUUUAAAAUUAUUUGUAGUUUUUAAUUUUGGUUUUUACAUAAUUGUAGAAUCAGUUAAUUAAUUGAGAUCUGUUUAAAGUUGUGCCAGCAAACGCGGUUACACAAUUGGGUCGAGUUAAUUUUUUUGGUUAGUAUUAAUUUAUUUAUUUGGGUAUUUUAUUUAUAUUUUAAGGUGAAAUUUUUAAUUUAAAUUAUAUUAUCUUGGUUUAAGAUUAUACGAAAUUUAGAAUUUAGACUAGGAUUAGAUACCCUAUUAUUCUAAAUGUAAAAUUUAUCCUUAGUAUUAAUAGUUAAGAUCUUUAAAUUAAAAAAAUUUGGCGGUAAUUUAGUCUUUUCAGAGGAACCUGUCCUGUAAUUGAUGAUCCACGUUGAAUUUUACUUUAAUUAUUGUUUGUAUAUCUCUGUCAUUGAAUGUUUUAUUAGAAUAUUUUCUUUAAUUAUUAAUUUGAAUAAUGUCAGGUCAAGGUGCAGCUAUAUUAAAGGUUGAGAUGGGUUACAUUUAAUUUAUUUAUUGGAUUAUAAAGUUGGAAUACUUAUAUAAAAUAGGAUUUGAAAGUAAUUAUUAUUAUUUUUUGAUAAUGAUUUUAGCUCUAGAUUAUGCACACAUCGCCCGUCGCUUUCAUUACUAAGGUGAAAUAAGUCGUAACAAAGUAAUUUUACUGGAAAGUGAAGUUAGAUUUAAA